AACGCUAGCUACAGGCUUAACACAUGCAAGUUGAGGGGCAGCAUGGUCUUAGCUUGCUAAGGCCGAUGGCGACCGGCGCACGGGUGAGUAACACGUAUCCAACCUGCCGUCUACUCUUGGACAGCCUUCUGAAAGGAAGAUUAAUACGAGAUGGCAUCACGAGUCCGCAUGUUCACAUGAUUAAAGGUAUUCCGGUAGACGAUGGGGAUGCGUUCCAUUAGAUAGUAGGCGGGGUAACGGCCCACCUAGUCUUCGAUGGAUAGGGGUUCUGAGAGGAAGGUCCCCCACAUUGGAACUGAGACACGGUCCAAACUCCUACGGGAGGCAGCAGUGAGGAAUAUUGGUCAAUGGGCGAGAGCCUGAACCAGCCAAGUAGCGUGAAGGAUGACUGCCCUAUGGGUUGUAAACUUCUUUUAUAAAGGAAUAAAGUCGGGUAUGUAUACCCGUUUGCAUGUACUUUAUGAAUAAGGAUCGGCUAACUCCGUGCCAGCAGCCGCGGUAAUACGGAGGAUCCGAGCGUUAUCCGGAUUUAUUGGGUUUAAAGGGAGCGUAGAUGGAUGUUUAAGUCAGUUGUGAAAGUUUGCGGCUCAACCGUAAAAUUGCAGUUGAUACUGGAUAUCUUGAGUGCAGUUGAGGCAGGCGGAAUUCGUGGUGUAGCGGUGAAAUGCUUAGAUAUCACGAAGAACUCCGAUUG
RNAcentral lists this ribosomal RNA (694 nucleotides) under uncultured bacterium. RNAcentral's name for it is "bacterial SSU rRNA". It matches the Rfam family "Bacterial small subunit ribosomal RNA", at positions 32 to 715 of the family's 1533-position model. The record is from RNAcentral.